CAGUCGCCGCGGUAAUACGUAGGGUGCGAGCGUUAAUCGGAAUUACUGGGCGUAAAGCGUGCGCAGGCGGUUGUGUAAGACAGGUGUGAAAUCCCCGGGCUUAACCUGGGAACUGCGCUUGUGACUGCACAGCUAGAGUAUGGCAGAGGGGGGUGGAAUUCCACGUGUAGCAGUGAAAUGCGUAGAGAUGUGGAGGAACACCGAUGGCGAAGGCAGCCCCCUGGGCCGAUACUGACGCUCGUGCACGAAAGCGUGGUGAGCAAACAGGAUUAGAUACCCCCGUAGUCCCUGUCUCUUAUAC
Molecule: ribosomal RNA, 301 nt
Filed under: uncultured bacterium
Lineage: Bacteria
Description: partial 16S ribosomal RNA
Rfam family: Bacterial small subunit ribosomal RNA
Source: RNAcentral